GACGAACGCUGGCGGCGUGCCUAAUACAUGCAAGUAGAACGCACAGUUUAUACCGUAGCUUGCUACACCAUAGACUGUGAGUUGCGAACGGGUGAGUAACGCGUAGGUAACCUGCCGGGUAGCGGGGGGUAACUAUUGGAAACGAUAGCUAAUACCGCAUAAUAUUAAUUAUUGCAUGAUAAUUAAUUGAAAGGUGCAAUUGCAGCACUACCAGCGGGACCUGCGUUGUAUGAGCUAGUAGGCGAGGUAACGGCUCACCUAGGCGACGAUACAUAGCCGACCUGGGGGGGUGAACGGCCACACUGGGAAUGAGACACGGCCCAGACCUCCACGGGAGGCAGCAGUAGGGGAACUUCGGAAAAGGACGAAAGUCUGAACCAGCAAAGCCGGGUGAGUGAAGGAGGUCUUCGGAUCGGAAAAGUCUGUUGUAAGGGAAGAACGGGUGUGAGGGUGGAAAGUUCACAUUGUGACGGUAUCUUAACAGAAAGGGCCGGCUAACUACGUG
Molecule: ribosomal RNA, 505 nt
Filed under: uncultured bacterium
Lineage: Bacteria
Description: partial 16S ribosomal RNA
Rfam family: Bacterial small subunit ribosomal RNA
Source: RNAcentral